AGAGAGAUACACCAUCAAUCAAUUUAAUGGGUGUGUGUGGUUCAUUUACUAUGAUACUCUACAUAUUAUAGUCAAGUGCUUGAAUAAAAAUUUUCAUCCGAACUUUUCAAUAGGUGUAAUUUGAUCUAUUGAAAAGUGAAGGUCGGUUUGUAGAUUGCCCCUCGACUAGUGAUGUGCCAAAUUGAGCUGCCAUUGACCUUUGGCUCUUGAUGGUUAAAUCAAGCAAGGGUUAGAGCACUGUGCUCUGAUACCACUUGUUGCUCAGAUAUGAAGCUCAAGAGGGAGGGUGAAUUGAGUCUUUUUAAAAUUUUCAAGAUUAGUGCACU
Molecule: long non-coding RNA, 326 nt
Filed under: Elaeis guineensis (African oil palm)
Lineage: Eukaryota; Viridiplantae; Streptophyta; Magnoliopsida; Arecales; Arecaceae
Description: long non-coding RNA (EGUI_LNC062616)
Source: RNAcentral